GUAUGGGUAAAGUUAUGAUUCAUGUUAAUUAUCCCUUGAACUCUACUUGGGAGAGAGGCAUGAACGAAGUUCAUCAGUUUUCUUAAAACUCAUUGGCUACUCUUGACCAUUGAAUUAGAUUAGAUCUGGUGUAUUUAAGUGUUUUAAUUUGUUACCUAAUUUAUGAAAUUAUCUCUCCUUUAUUUUUACUCUAUUUUUCUCUCUCCUCCAUCUCACGAUCUGUUGAUCUCCAUCUCCCUCCUUCCCAAAUCAAAAUCAAUGCUGAAAAUCAUCAAAUUACAGAGGUAUUUGGUUCAAUCUUCAUCGAUUUCGUCGUUAUCUUCUGAAAUCCAGCUGCAAUUUCUUCGGUUCUUCAUCAAUUUCUCAAUCAACAAUCUAUUAUGUUAAAUUGUUGAUGUUGGCGUCGGGCUUUGGUGGCGAAUUGGUGGAGCAAUUGGUGGCUGUUGUGUGGGCGUCUAAUAGAGAUGUGACUGCUGAUGUUGCGGGCCGUUGUGGUGGUUAUUGCGAUAGCUAGUCAUGUGAAUUGGCGGAGGUUGGUUGUGGAUUUGGUUAAAUGAAACAAUGAUGAUAAUGGACUCUUUAGUUCGACGUUCAUCCCUUCCUUGUCAGAUUAUUUACAGUACUGAUCGAAUGAAGUAGAAGAAAUAAGUUACAAUAGGUUAUAGAAAUAAGAUAUUAUUCAUGAUUUUUUUGCUACUGUAGCAUAUGGUUAUUUAUAACAUAAAUUCCACAAUUUAUGACUUAAGUUUUGAACUAUUUGAAUUUUGAAGCAUGUUUUCUGUUCCAAGUAUUCAUCUGUACUUCCAAACUCAUCAAUCUUUCAAAUCAACAGGAAGAAAAAUUUCAGACCA
Molecule: long non-coding RNA, 851 nt
Organism: Chenopodium quinoa (quinoa)
Lineage: Eukaryota; Viridiplantae; Streptophyta; Magnoliopsida; Caryophyllales; Amaranthaceae
Exons: 2
Source: RefSeq, a predicted model, not a curated record